UAGGGAAUUUUCGUCAAUGGGGGAGCCCUGAACGAGCAAUGCCGCGUGUGUGAAGAAGAUCUUCGGAUCGUAAAGCACUGUUGUAAGUGAAGAAUGCCAUAUAGAGGAAAUGCUAUGUGGGUGACGGUAGCUUACCAGAAAGCCACGGCUAACUACGUGCCAGCAGCCGCGGUAAUACGUAGGUGGCAAGCGUUAUCCGGAAUCAUUGGGCGUAAAGGGUGCGUAGGUGGCACGAUAAGUCUGAAGUAAAAGGCAACAGCUCAACUGUUGUAUGCUUUGGAAACUGUCGAGCUAGAGUGCAGAAGAGGGCGAUGGAAUUCCAUGUGUAGCGGUAAAAUGCAUAGAUAUAUGGAGGAACACCAGUGGCGAAGGCGGUCGCCUGGUCUGUAACUGACACUGAUGCACGAAAGCGUGGGGAGCAAAUAGGAUUAGAUACC
This 437-nucleotide ribosomal RNA is filed under the name uncultured bacterium. RNAcentral describes it as "bacterial SSU rRNA". It matches the Rfam family "Bacterial small subunit ribosomal RNA", at positions 355 to 786 of the family's 1533-position model. The record is from RNAcentral.